CCUAUUUCAGAUAAAAAGAAUAUGUACACAGCACAAUCUUUUGAUCCUUCCAUCACCUUGUUCAAUUACAUCCUAGCAUCAAUUAAUGUCAUAAACCAGAAGAAACAAACUGCACAAUUAACUUGAUGGUAGCCAAGUCUCCGGUAACUGAAAGGAAAUAUAUGCCAAAAGAGACACUGGUAUACAUGAUUUGCAGGACCCCAGAAGGCAGAUAAAAAAUAUUUCUUUCCAACACUUUAGCCUCACAGUUAAUCAAAUUUAAAUUGUUUUCAACCUGCACCUUAACCCAAUAGCUGAAACUAGUGACAGUAAGCAAAAACCCCGACAAAGCCUGUAAAUUGUAUUUUCUGUUCAUUAAGAUGUUGAUGUUACCGGUUGUAUGCCAAACAACCAAAAAAAAAAGUGUCAAAUAAAUUUCAUCCAGUACUUCAGACAAUUUAACUGCCAAUAUCUGGAUCUUGGUUUCGUAAAAGGCCAUCUAAAAAUUUGAAACAAUUAAUUACCAAAGCUAUUUGACAGUUUUUCAGUUAUUUGAGACCUGAAGGAUGUGUAAUGAAAGUAAGUACAGAGUCUCAAUAGGCGAGAAUCAGGUGCUCCUUUGCAUAAUAUAUACAUCCAUAACUCAAACAAUGAGCCUGUGUUGCAUAGGCUUUCACAAAUUGAUUGGUCUAGCUAGUAUAAACUUGAAACUCUGAGAAACCUCCAGAAUCCCCCUUUUUUUUUAGUUAAUGAUCUAUGAGAACCUCAGUUGCAAGCUAAUCCAAAUGGUGAUGCCAUAUCACUGUAGAAAUUCAGUUUAGAGGGAGGGGUGGGCCACCAGGGAAAACCAUUUUGCUAUGAAACAUCAGACUUAUCAGCGCAAUAUGCUAAUUCUCUAUUUGGCAUGUUUGAACAUUGACACCAUGGACAAACUGAUAUGUCAUCACCCACUUAGAUAAAAGAAAUGCAACUGCUCAAAGUCAAAUAUACAAGUCACACUCAAACAUCUACGAAACUCUAUUGCCUCAUAUCAACUUCUGAUUGUCAACAGAAAUCAUAAUAAGGGUAUUCCUAGAGAGCUAGGAUAGACAAAGAACACAUGUAAUAUGCCAGAGCUAGGAUAGACAAAGAACACAUGUAAUAUGCCAGAGCUAGGAUAGACAAAGAACACAUGUAAUAUGCCAGAGCUAGGGUGAUCAAUCAUUGGAUAACAAACAGUAACAGCAGCAAACCCCUCAAUUCCACGAUUGCUAAGUCAUUACUCAGCCUGACAGCUGAACCAUUCCCAAUACGCAGCAAGAAACAUUAAAAUUCCUCAAUCAGAACAUUUACUCUUAGCCAAGCAACUAUUGAAAUGCAAUACAAUUAUUAUAAGAUCCAUCUAAAUCCCUCUAUUUUACAAGAAAACAUCGAAAAAUGUAACCAAGAUUCAAGAAAGGAGAUUCAAGGAGUCAUUUCAAGAAUCAAGACGGUAAAAAGUGGUAGUAUAUAAAUAUUCUUCGAUUCCCAAACCGGAAAGAUAAAAAUUAUCCAGCCCAAGUAUAAAAUCGAGUGAGAGAGUAAAAUGGAAAAAUAGAAAAGACCCAUUUCGGCAAAUCCAAAAAUCAUACAUUAGAAUUGAAAAGACAGAGAAAGCGAGCACCUCC
RNAcentral lists this long non-coding RNA (1625 nucleotides) under Populus trichocarpa (black cottonwood). RNAcentral describes it as "long non-coding RNA (PTRI_LNC000202)". The record is from RNAcentral. Lineage: Eukaryota; Viridiplantae; Streptophyta; Magnoliopsida; Malpighiales; Salicaceae.